UCCCUGAUGGUCCAGUGACUAAGACUCCUUGCUUCCAAUGCAGGGGGUCCUGAGUUCAAAUCCUGGUCAGGGAG
Ovis aries (sheep) is the source of this 74-nucleotide transfer RNA. It matches the Rfam family "tRNA". From Rfam's summary of the family: Transfer RNA (tRNA) molecules are approximately 80 nucleotides in length. Their secondary structure includes four short double-helical elements and three loops (D, anti-codon, and T loops). The record is from Rfam. Lineage: Eukaryota; Metazoa; Chordata; Mammalia; Artiodactyla; Bovidae.